GAUGAACGCUGGCGGCGCGCCUAACACAUGCAAGUCGAACGGCACCCCUCUCCGGAGGGAAGCGAGUGGCGAACGGCUGAGUAACACGUGGAGAACCUGCCCCCUCCCCCGGGAUAGCCGCCCGAAAGGACGGGUAAUACCGGAUACCCCGGGGUGCCGCAUGGCACCCCGGCUAAAGCCCCGACGGGAGGGGAUGGCUCCGCGGCCCAUCAGGUAGACGGCGGGGUGACGGCCCACCGUGCCGACAACGGGUAGCCGGGUUGAGAGACCGACCGGCCAGAUUGGGACUGAGACACGGCCCAGACUCCUACGGGAGGCAGCAGUGGGGAAUCUUGCGCAAUGGGGGGAACCCUGACGCAGCGACGCCGCGUGCGGGACGGAGGCCUUCGGGUCGUAAACCGCUUUCAGCAGGGAAGAGUCAAGACUGUACCUGCAGAAGAAGCCCCGGCUAACUACGUGCCAGCAGCCGCGGUAAUACGUAGGGGGCGAGCGUUAUCCGGAUUCAUUGGGCGUAAAGCGCGCGUAGGCGGCCCGGCAGGCCGGGGGUCGAAGCGGGGGGCUCAACCCCCCGAAGCCCCCGGAACCUCCGCGGCUUGGGUCCGGUAGGGGAGGGUGGAACACCCGGUGUAGCGGUGGAAUGCGCAGAUAUCGGGUGGAACACCGGUGGCGAAGGCGGCCCUCUGGGCCGAGACCGACGCUGAGGCGCGAAAGCUGGGGGAGCGAAAAGGAUUAGAUACCCUGGUAGUCCCAGCCGUAAAACCUUAAGGGGGUGGGGGGAGGAUCCCCCCGUGCCGCAGCCAACGCAUUAAGCGUCCCGCCUGGGGAGUACGGCCGCAAGGCUAAAACUCAAAGGAAAUGACGGGGGCCCGCACAAGCAGCGGAGCAUGUGGCUUAAUUUGAAGCAACGCGAAGAACCUUACCAGGGCUUGACAUAUGGGUGAAGCGGGGGAGACCCCGUGGCCGAGAGGAGCCCAUACAGGUGGUGCAUGGCUGUCGUCAGCUCGUGUCGUGAGAUGUUGGGUUAAGUCCCGCAACGAGCGCAACCCCCGCCGCGUGUUGCCAUCGGGUGAUGCCGGGAACCCACGCGGGACCGCCGCCGUCAAGGCGGAGGAGGGCGGGGAGGACGUCAAGUCAUCAUGCCCCUUAUGCCCUGGGCUGCACACGUGCUACAAUGGCCGGUACAGAGGGAUGCCACCCCGCGAGGGGGAGCGGAUCCCGGAAAGCCGGCCCCAGUUCGGAUUGGGGGGUGCAACCCGCCCCCACGAAGUCGGAGUUGCUAGUAAUCGCGGAUCAGCAUGCCGCGGUGA
This 1307-nucleotide ribosomal RNA is filed under the name uncultured bacterium. Its description in RNAcentral is "bacterial SSU rRNA". It matches the Rfam family "Bacterial small subunit ribosomal RNA", at positions 28 to 1365 of the family's 1533-position model. The record is from RNAcentral.